This 436-nucleotide long non-coding RNA is filed under the name Vigna radiata. RNAcentral describes it as "long non-coding RNA (VRAD_LNC017573)". Lineage: Eukaryota; Viridiplantae; Streptophyta; Magnoliopsida; Fabales; Fabaceae. The record is from RNAcentral.
GAUUAUUGAUUAAGAGAAGAUAGAGGAAGAUGAGAUAACAAAGGUCUUGAAGUCUCUGGGCAUUAUUAGGGNUAAUACUGAAGUUAACCCUAAAGAAGAAUGUCAAGCCACUAUCUUUACAAAUGAUAAUGUUGUCAAGGAGGAAAAGAUAGAAGAAGAAGAGCUACAGAUGUAUGAAGAAGAAACAAAAACAGAAAAAGUUGUUGCUACGAACAAGAUAGAGUCGAUAGAAACAGAAAAGUUGAAUGAGAGUGAGAAGAAGGAUGAGAAAGGAAAAGCAGUGGUUGAAAGGAAAGAAAAAAAGAAAAAAAAAUGAAAAUAAAGAAAGAAAAGAAAAAGAAAAGAAAAAGAAAAGGAGAAGGUUAAGGAAGGAGAAAAUUAAGAAAAAGAGGAAGAGAGGAAAGAAGAAAAGAUCAUAUGAAAAACCUCUUCCUCA